This is a long non-coding RNA of Dermacentor silvarum, 344 nucleotides long. RefSeq lists it as uncharacterized. The transcript is spliced from 3 exons. The record is from RefSeq and is a predicted model, not a curated record. NCBI's taxonomy places the organism in Eukaryota, Metazoa, Arthropoda, Arachnida, Ixodida, Ixodidae.
GGGAAAUGUAGUCGCUGCCUCUGUUACACCAUCGUAUACAGUCAAGUCUGUGGGUGGAUCGUCAGUGCCCCAACUCUCAACGCUGCGGCACAUGGUGACGCCAUCAGCGACAGGGGUGUCGUCUCCGAAUGCUGGCACCAUUGUUACUUCAAUAGCAUCUCCAAUGGCAUCCAUUAUCCGAGGCAACACCAUCACUACCACCCAGAUUGGCCACACUGCCUCACAUCAGUUCUCUUCACACGUACCCCGAGGGCCAGCAGCUGUUGCAAGCAUCAACACUGCUCCAAAAUCGGCGCUCGCAACGCCAAUGUUGCGGUCUUCAAUGAGUCAAGCAACCACCAGCA